RNAcentral lists this ribosomal RNA (433 nucleotides) under uncultured bacterium. Its description in RNAcentral is "partial 16S ribosomal RNA". It matches the Rfam family "Bacterial small subunit ribosomal RNA", at positions 29 to 507 of the family's 1533-position model. The record is from RNAcentral.
AACGAACGCUGGCGGCAUGCCUAACACAUGCAAGUCGAACGAGAACUUCGGGUCUAGUGGCGGACGGGUGGGUAACGGGUGGGGAUGUGCCCUUGUGUUCUGACUAUCUCUCCGAGACUGGUUGUAGUAACUGAGACUACUAUCGGAGAGGAGAUUUAUCGAGGGUGGAUCGGCGAGCGUUUGUUUAGGUAGUGGGUAGGGUAAUGGCCUACCAAGUCGACGAUGGGUAGCUGGUUUGAGAGGAUGACAAGCCACACUGGGACUGAGACCCGGCCCAGACUCCUACGGGAGGCAGCAGGUGGGAAUCUUAGACAAUGGGGGCAACCCUGAUCUAGCCAUGCCGCGUGAGUGAUGAAGGCCUUAGGGUUGUAAAGCUCUUUCAGCUGGGAAGAUAAUGACGGUACCCGCAGAAAAAGCCCCGGCUAACUCCGUG